UAUUAAAAAUUUUAUUCAUUUCUAUUAUUAAAAGCUGGUGUAGCUGGCAAAAUAAACUUGUACUCCAUGUUGACAUAUAUGAACUAAUUUUUAACAGUAAAAGUGGAUGAAUUUUUAAUA
Gossypium hirsutum (cotton) is the source of this 120-nucleotide non-coding RNA. The record is from Rfam. NCBI's taxonomy places the organism in Eukaryota, Viridiplantae, Streptophyta, Magnoliopsida, Malvales, Malvaceae.